CCUACGGGAGGCAGCAGUAGGGAAUAUUGCUCAAUGGGGGAAACCCUGAAGCAGCAACGCCGCGUGGAGGAUGAAGGCUUUAGGAUUGUAAACUCCUUUUGUUAGAGAAGAUUAUGACGGUAUCUAACGAAUAAGCACCGGCUAAUGCCGUGCCAGCAGCCGCGGUAAUACGGAGGGUGCAAGCGUUAGUCGGAAUCACUGGGCGUAAAGAGUGCGUAGGCGGGGUAAUAAGUCAGAUGUGAAAUCCAGUGGUUUAACUACAGAACUGCAUUGGAUACUGUUACUCUGGAGUGUGGGAGAGGUAGGUGGAAUUCUUGGUGUAGGGGUGAAAUCCGUAGAGAUCAAGAAGAAUACUCAUUGCGAAGGCGGCCUGCUGGAACAUUACUGACGCUGAUGCACGAAAGCGUGGGGAGCAAACAGGAUUAGAUACCCGGGUAGUC
This 440-nucleotide ribosomal RNA is filed under the name uncultured bacterium. Its description in RNAcentral is "partial 16S ribosomal RNA". It matches the Rfam family "Bacterial small subunit ribosomal RNA", at positions 338 to 795 of the family's 1533-position model. The record is from RNAcentral.